Cololabis saira (Pacific saury) is the source of this 1511-nucleotide long non-coding RNA. RefSeq lists it as uncharacterized. The record is from RefSeq and is a predicted model, not a curated record. The transcript has 3 exons. NCBI's taxonomy places the organism in Eukaryota, Metazoa, Chordata, Actinopteri, Beloniformes, Belonidae.
CGCAGCGCCCCGGUCUUCUCCCGGAACGAGCCGCCGCUCUGGCGGUAGCCGUGCACGCACAGGACCCGCAGCGGUGCCAUGGCCACGGUAACCCUGGAAACGGCGGCCGGAACAACGCUUCCGGAGCCGCGCACACGAUGGAGCAACAGCGGCUGUAACUGCUGAGGAUAGAUGCUGAAGUCCUGCAGAGUGCUGCAGGAUCGGCUGCAGACCAACACCGACAUCCAGGUUAAAUCUCCCAGCCAGAGCCCAGAGCCAAAGCAGCGGGGAAGUCAUAUUCAGAGGUCAAAAUGGCCUUCAAGUUGUAUCCUACAGCAGAUGAACUGUACUGCUGUCAUCUACAAUGAGCUUAUUAGAGACACUGUCAUUCUGCCGUGUGAUCCUUGAAGUCUAUGGGCACUUAAAAGAGGACACAGAAGAGUAUGACGAAUGUGCUGUCUUCACUGGAUGCUCACUGGAACUGGCAAAGUAGGCCAUACGCAAUGUAGAUGGAUGGCACUAAAAAGGAUCUUUGUGCUUACACAAAGUGUUUAUGUUCAAGUGUACCCUUCUUUUCAGGGAGACACCACUAUUCUGAUGAAGACAAGCGUAAAGGGCAAAAGCACCGCGAUAAGAGGCUGUUUUGUUGUUGUAAUCUUGACAGCUGACAGAUGUUAUCAUGGAAUAGGACACGGAUAACAGAUGAGGCUGCAGAAGUUGCAGGCCUGUCAUGUUGUGUAGCUUAAAAUGUCAGCUACUCCAUGCGUGGCGCUAUUAUCGUUCUUUUGUAAAAUAAUGUCGAAGACAUCUUCCUGAUGCAGCAACUAUUCAUGCAUCCAUUGGAUGCAAAUCUUUCCUUCCCUUCAUUUCCUGGAGCAUUUAAUAAUUGUCAUGUGGCUGCAGAAUCCUGCCUCCACAACCCUUAUUUCCACGUUUUUUGUUCAAAAGAAGCACGUUUUUGGCUCAUGGCUAAAUGAAAUCAAGUUAUGUUUAAUUAAUACUGUCACACGAAACAGUGACGCACACGUGCAAGACCAUGUUUGAGAAAAAUGCAAAGUGAUGUCAAUGAAAUCUAUGAGCCUCUGACUCCAAAUCCAAUGUAGUUACUCAAAUUCCUUUAUUUGUCACCGUUGAGUAGAGCAGAGAGUGAACAGGCUUUCUCUGUGCUCUUACAAGGUGAUGCUUGAGUUUACCCUCUGACCAUUUCCUCUUAGCAGCCUUGAAAUAUAAGAGCUCGUCUUUAUUUGAAGUGGUAGACACUGACUGACUCAUACAGGAAUGAAACCCCAAAUGCUUCUAAACUCACUGCAACUGAAGAACUCCGAGGACAAGCACUGAUCUUUUCAAUCAGUUUUUGGAGUAAAAGCAAAAUGACUAAAGGUUCUAAUUUAAUUAAUGUUGAAAAUUCUCGUGGCUCGGGGUCCUCAACGAUGAAGUCGCUGAAUCUGCAGUUAAUCAUGUUAAUUUAUGUGUGCUUCUUUCAUGUACCCUUUAAACGAUUCUCUUUCUAAAUACUGCACACUGUUGUAUGU